RNAcentral lists this long non-coding RNA (644 nucleotides) under Homo sapiens (human). RNAcentral describes it as "HSALNT0397659". The record is from RNAcentral. Lineage: Eukaryota; Metazoa; Chordata; Mammalia; Primates; Hominidae.
CUGGAGGACCACCGGCUAAUGAGAGCGAAGCAAAGUCAGUUGGGCCCAUCCCCAAUGUGGAAUCUGGACCUUUGAGAUCGCAGGAAAGUUUGGAGGACCCUCCUGUGCCACCGCAGAGCCCGCGCCGGAAGUUUAAAAAGACGCUAAAGUCCGUGUCAACCCCAGGGUUGGGCAAGGCUGGGAGGCCUGGCUGGCCCCUCGGGGCCCCUAUCCUGGAGUAGGUUGACACCCGACCUGUGGUUUCCAGGAAGACCGGAGACGCCCGGGAGGAAGCGCCUGACCCGGCUUCCUGGAGGAGGACAGCUGAAGACAUUUAAAGAUGAGAGCUGUUCAGGGUGGGAGCCAAGGCCCAGAGACUAGUGCAACUCAGAGGAGCACGUCCGUGGGCUUGGUCCCUGUCCUUUCUUGGGCCACAGCUGACCCUUUUUUUUUUCCCGUAGCCCUCACAAGUGUUUUAUUCUGAGUAUUUUCAAACAUGCACAUUAAGGGGAAUAGUAUAACGCACUCUUAAGUACAUCUCAAACGCUACCAAUAUUCAACACUUCUGGAUUUCACUUGAUCUAUACUUCUUUGUCACGCGCGUCCGUGUGAAGAGACCACCAAGCAGGCUUUGUGUGAGCAACAAGGCUGUUUAUUUCACCUGG